CCUCUCUUGAUCUUACCGAAUACCCAAAAGGCAGAGAGAAGACACUUCCAACCACUGUCAAGGUUUGUCAUUAGUUUCUUCAAGCAUAGGAACUCUUCAAUAUGCAACUGUGUUGUUGGUUGCUUUUUGGCAUGGGUGGUGUAGGAAAGGGGCUUUAAAUGAUUGAUUAGCAGCACAAGAGGGGCACAUCAGCAGGGGAUGGUGGCAGAUGAUGCUUAUUGUUUUUUGUUAAUUUUUUAAGUUCUAGAAAUCCUGGUUUAAUGUGUAUUAAUCAAUUGAGUAUUGACGUUUAUUUGUAUUUA
Long non-coding RNA from Prunus dulcis (almond), 302 nucleotides. RefSeq lists it as uncharacterized. The record is from RefSeq and is a predicted model, not a curated record. The transcript is spliced from 3 exons. NCBI's taxonomy places the organism in Eukaryota, Viridiplantae, Streptophyta, Magnoliopsida, Rosales, Rosaceae.